This 74-nucleotide transfer RNA is filed under the name Cylindrotheca closterium. It matches the Rfam family "tRNA". Rfam says of the family: Transfer RNA (tRNA) molecules are approximately 80 nucleotides in length. Their secondary structure includes four short double-helical elements and three loops (D, anti-codon, and T loops). The record is from RNAcentral. Lineage: Eukaryota; Bacillariophyta; Bacillariophyceae; Bacillariales; Bacillariaceae.
GCUUGUUUAGCUCAGUUGGUUAGAGCACCUCAUUAGUAAUGAGGAGGUCCGUGGUUCGACUCCGCGAUCAAGCU